CCUCCCUCUGCUCCGACGACUCAACGCCACCACCGCCGCCAUCGUCAUCGUUUGCUCCACGACGACCAGCCGCACCCUUCACCGUCGACGGCCGGAAUCCGAUCGCCCCGUCGCCGUGAACCAUCGCCGGAGACAGCGCCCCGUGCUCCUGCGCCCCCCGGGGAGACGGCCUCGAGCCGUAGGAGCUCUGCACAAGGCCACACGCGAAGAGCAGCAGCAGCAGCGGGAGGCAAGCGCGCGAGCACCGUGCCAUUUUCGUCACAGUUUCGGCGAAGGCACUACGACUACGUAGCGUAGCCAGGUGUUGGCGGUGAGCUUUCUUUCGACGAUGGCUGUGACUUGUGAGCACUGGCUCUUUUACCAAG
Molecule: long non-coding RNA, 365 nt
Filed under: Hordeum vulgare
Lineage: Eukaryota; Viridiplantae; Streptophyta; Magnoliopsida; Poales; Poaceae
Description: long non-coding RNA (HVUL_LNC008588)
Source: RNAcentral